CAUUUGCUGCUACAUCAGCUUUUGUGGCUACCUGGGACAGUGUACCGUAUUAUAAUGGUGGAGGGGUGGUCACUUUCCAAGUGGUUUUAGCGUACAAUGUUCAUCGCUCUUUCAUCCUGAUCUAUUACGGAGAUGUUGCAGAAACAGAACAACCUUGGCAGGCUGGUUAUAACACUGUGGACUCUGCCAGUUCUUUCACAAUUCCAGCAGCCAGUGUCCCUGAG
This is a long non-coding RNA of Sinocyclocheilus rhinocerous, 224 nucleotides long. RefSeq lists it as uncharacterized. Lineage: Eukaryota; Metazoa; Chordata; Actinopteri; Cypriniformes; Cyprinidae. The record is from RefSeq and is a predicted model, not a curated record. The transcript has 3 exons.